RNAcentral lists this ribosomal RNA (479 nucleotides) under uncultured bacterium. RNAcentral's name for it is "partial 16S ribosomal RNA". It matches the Rfam family "Bacterial small subunit ribosomal RNA", at positions 28 to 507 of the family's 1533-position model. The record is from RNAcentral.
GAUGAACGCUGGCGGCGUGCUUAACACAUGCAAGUCGAACGAAGCACCUUGAUUCGAUUCUUCGGAUGAAGAUCUUGGUGACUGAGUGGCGGACGGGUGAGUAACGCGUGGGUAACCUGCCUCAUACAGGGGGAUAACAGUUAGAAAUGACUGCUAAUACCGCAUAAGACCACAGCACCGCAUGGUGCAGGGGUAAAAACUCCGGUGGUAUGAGAUGGACCCGCGUCUGAUUAGGUAGUUGGUGGGGUAACGGCCUACCAAGGCGACGAUCAGUAGCCGAGCGGAGAGGGUGACCGGCCACGUUGGGACUGAGACACGGCCCAAACUCCUACGGGAGGCAGCAGUGGGGAAUAUUGCACAAUGGGGGAAAACCUGAUGCAGCGACGCCGCGUGAGCGAUGAAGUAUUUCGGUAUGUAAAGCUCUAUCAGCAGGGAAGAAAAUGACGGUACCUGACUAAGAAGCACCGGCUAAAUACGUG